UCGGCGGCCUCGGCCAACUCGGUCGGCUCGGUCGGCUCCGGCUCGACCAGCGCCUGAGCCAGCUCCGCGGCGAGCAGGUCGCACUGCCACUGCCGGGC
This 98-nucleotide transfer RNA is filed under the name Catellatospora sp. TT07R-123. RNAcentral's name for it is "tRNA-Arg". Lineage: Bacteria; Bacillati; Actinomycetota; Actinomycetes; Micromonosporales; Micromonosporaceae. The record is from RNAcentral.